Molecule: ribosomal RNA, 439 nt
Filed under: uncultured bacterium
Lineage: Bacteria
Description: bacterial SSU rRNA
Rfam family: Bacterial small subunit ribosomal RNA
Source: RNAcentral
AACGCGAAGAACCUUACCUGGUCUUGACAUCCUGGGAACCCUGCAGAAAUGCGGGGGUGCCGCAAGGAGCCCAGAGACAGGUGCUGCAUGGCUGUCGUCAGCUCGUGUCGUGAGAUGUUGGGUUAAGUCCCGCAACGAGCGCAACCCCCGUCGCAUGUUGCCAGCAUUCAGUUGGGGACUCAUGCGAGACUGCCGGUGACAAACCGGAGGAAGGUGGGGAUGACGUCAAGUCCUCAUGCCCCUUAUGUUCAGGGCUACACACGUGCUACAUUGGCGCAUACAGAGGGCUGCGAUACCGCGAGGUGGAGCGAAUCCCUUAAAGUGCGUCUCGGUUCGGAUUGCAGGCUGAAAUUCGCCUGCAUGAAGGCGGAGUUGCUAGUAAUCGCGGAUCAGCAUUGCCGCGGUGAAUACGUUCCCGGGCCUUGUACACACCGACAUA